ACCGAUUGCUGGGGGAGCUUCCUUUGGGAGGCUGAGAGUAUGCCGGAUAGGCCGGUAGAGACCCCUUGAACCUGUUGGAUAAUCCCAACGCAGGGAAGCAAUCCGUGACCCGC
RNAcentral lists this non-coding RNA (113 nucleotides) under Dethiosulfatarculus sandiegensis. Its description in RNAcentral is "TPP sequence". It matches the Rfam family "TPP riboswitch aptamer (THI element)". From Rfam's summary of the family: Vitamin B(1) in its active form thiamin pyrophosphate (TPP) is an essential coenzyme that is synthesised by coupling of pyrimidine and thiazole moieties in bacteria. The previously detected thiamin-regulatory element, thi box was extended, resulting in a new, highly conserved RNA secondary structure, the THI element, which is widely distributed in eubacteria and also occurs in some archaea. The record is from Rfam by way of RNAcentral. Lineage: Bacteria; Pseudomonadati; Thermodesulfobacteriota; Desulfarculia; Desulfarculales; Desulfarculaceae.